Molecule: transfer RNA, 73 nt
Filed under: Mycobacterium ostraviense
Lineage: Bacteria; Bacillati; Actinomycetota; Actinomycetes; Mycobacteriales; Mycobacteriaceae
Description: tRNA-Thr
Source: RNAcentral
GCACCCAGCCGAACCGGGCUUCAGUCGCCUUGUAAGCGAGCGGUCGUCAGUUCAAUCCUGACAGGGGGCUCCA